GACUUCAUGGUCGAGUGGUAAGAAUAUUUGCCCAGAAGUCCCGGGUUCGAUCCCCGGGCGAGGAACU
Rhamnusium bicolor is the source of this 67-nucleotide non-coding RNA. The record is from the annotation of a GenBank genome assembly. Lineage: Eukaryota; Metazoa; Arthropoda; Insecta; Coleoptera; Cerambycidae.